UUGUAAUGUGUAAGGUAUUCAUUUGUGCAUGUAUGUCUGAGAGUGUGUAGACCAACCGACCUGCCUGUGUGUGUCUCAUGUAUUGUGCUAUGAGCUAUGAAGUCCAAUUACUGAACUUCUAUCACUAUACCAUCUCAACCCGUACAGCAAGCAGACUGUGACUUCAUUCGCCAUCUCCUAUUUUCUGACCCCUUACAGUACAAAACUGGGAUAAAAUUGGCCGAUUCCUGCUAGCUGGACAGCCCAUCGAUACACCCCAAGCUUGAUUUUCGGAGUCCUAAACGCCUUUGAACUCGUCCAUCACACGUAAGGGAUUCCUACAUAUCGAAAGAGACCGGGUCUGCACGUUUUCUCAACAUCACCAUCAUCCUUGUGAUCGCCCUGAGAGAGCGCACGAGAGAGACAGCAGCUAGAGAGGAAGGUCUCGUAUGUUUUGCAAGCUUUUGACGGUGUAGCAGACGUCUAUUUUCCUUUUAUGGAAGAUGGCAGAUGCCCUGGUAUACGCUCCAGCAACGUUUGCCGUGGACUGUUCUUUGUCAAACAUGAAUAAUGUGAGAAUUGUUCAAAUUUUUCAAACAUUUGUUUACACUCUGCUUUAAUAUCUAGAUUGAGUUUAGAUCUAAUCAUUUUGUUAUUUAUAUGACAUUUUUAUUUGAGUUUUUUUCAAAUAAUUUUGAGUUAGAAGCCUGUGAGCAUAUUGUCAUUUCACUUUUUUUAAUUUAAAAAUAUCAGUUUUGAUAUGCACUAUGAUGAUGAUAAUCUUCAUGAUAAAAAGAAUCCUUAAAUCCAAUGUUGAAUCUUUCAUCAAAAUGCAGUCUGAAGUGGAAUGUCUAUAAUAAGUGAUCUAUUAGCUGAAUCAUUGAAAUUAAUAUUGGAAAUGGAGGUUGACUGGAUGAAGUAUGGUGAGCUAGCUACGAGCUAGACACUGACAUUUUAAACAUCCAGCUUUUCUCACUUGUCUUGGGAGCUUAAAAUCAUUGGUCCAUACGGUGUACAUAUUAUUUUUAACUCAGCUCUCCCUUUUUAAAAAUAUUUUUAAAUAUAUAUUAUUAAAAGAAAGUUACACUUGCAAAGAAAUUCUCUAGAGAAAAUGUGAAAGCAUUAUAUAACUUAUUGAUGCAGUAAUUAUUUUCAUAGUGACAUCUUACAGAAUUGAAACAUCAUAAUUUCCUUCCAAUACAUUAACUUUCCAUUAGAAAAUCUAAGAUGAGCUCCUACAUGUAUGAACCUCUAAGAUAUAUUUUGCACUAUUGUUCAUUUAUCAAAUAUUGACUUAUUAAUGCUUAUGAUGCAAAAAGCAAGCUAUAAUAAUAAUAUUCCGUAUAGCGCAUAUCACAUAACGUCCCUAUGCGCUUCAUAAGAGCUUUGAAAAUGAUUACCCGAGCUUUAGCUCCGGCAGCCGUUAUCAGCGCACAGUGCAUUUCAAGGAAUAAUCCUACCAGGUACCCAUUUACCU
Strongylocentrotus purpuratus (purple sea urchin) is the source of this 1456-nucleotide long non-coding RNA. RefSeq lists it as uncharacterized. The record is from RefSeq and is a predicted model, not a curated record. The transcript has 3 exons. NCBI's taxonomy places the organism in Eukaryota, Metazoa, Echinodermata, Echinoidea, Camarodonta, Strongylocentrotidae.